RNAcentral lists this ribosomal RNA (438 nucleotides) under Pityohyphantes costatus. RNAcentral describes it as "partial 16S ribosomal RNA". The stretch from base 196 to 438 matches the Rfam family "Bacterial large subunit ribosomal RNA", at positions 2079 to 2600 of the family's 2925-position model. The record is from RNAcentral. Lineage: Eukaryota; Metazoa; Arthropoda; Arachnida; Araneae; Linyphiidae.
UGCUUAAAUUAUAAUUUUAAGUAAAAUCUGCUCCAUGUAUAAAUAAAUAGCCGCAGUAAAUUUACUGUGCUAAGGUAGCAUAAUCAUUAACCUUUUAAUUAAAGGCUAGAAUGAACGAUUUUACAUAUUAAUUCCUUUUUUUAUAAAAAUUAUUAAAAUUAAAUUAAAAAUAAAAAUGUUUUUAUAUAUAAAAAAGACGACAAGACCCUAUUGAACUUUACUAAAGUUUAGCUGGGGCAGCUAAUUAAAUAUUAUUUUAAUUAUUUUCCUAUAAACCACCAAUAAAAUUGAUUUUAAUAAGUUACCAUAGGGAUAACAGCGUAAUAAAUUUUAAAAGUUCUUAUUUAAAAAAAAGUUUGCGACCUCGAUGUUGAAUUAAUUUUACUUUAAAACGCAAUUGUAUUAAAAGUAGGUCUGUUCCGCCUUUAAAUAAUUACA